RNAcentral lists this ribosomal RNA (219 nucleotides) under uncultured Methanomicrobiales archaeon. Its description in RNAcentral is "partial 16S ribosomal RNA". It matches the Rfam family "Archaeal small subunit ribosomal RNA", at positions 1120 to 1338 of the family's 1478-position model. The record is from RNAcentral. Lineage: Archaea; Methanobacteriati; Methanobacteriota; Methanomicrobia; Methanomicrobiales.
AGGAGGAAGGAAUGGGCAACGGUAGGUCAGCAUGCCCCGAAUUAUCUGGGCUACACGCGGGCUACAAUGGGUGGGACAAUGGGUAUCGACACCGAAAGGUGAAGGCAAUCUCCUAAACCCAUCCGUAGUUCGGAUUGUGGGCUGCAACUCGCCCACAUGAAGCUGGAAUCUGUAGUAAUCGUGUCUCAAAAUGGCACGGUGAAUAUGUCCCUGCUCCUU